RNAcentral lists this unclassified non-coding RNA (684 nucleotides) under Hevea brasiliensis (rubber tree). Lineage: Eukaryota; Viridiplantae; Streptophyta; Magnoliopsida; Malpighiales; Euphorbiaceae. The record is from RNAcentral.
GGAAGAUCUAUGCACCCAUCAUCCAAAAAGAAAAGAAAAAGGGAAUUUUUGGAUCUGUUUUCAAAGAUGCCAAGGGAAAUAAGGCAAACAAUGUGCCUGACGCCGGAGUUGAAAAUGCAAGAGCAAGUAUUGAAGAGAUGUCUGCAAUAUUUUCAGCUGACAACUUUCCAUCACUCACCCACAGUGAAGAGAAGUUAGGCAGGAACGAAAAGGAUGCUGACUUGGAUAUAGAUGACAUUGAAAUUGAAGAUCCAGUAGAGAAACAGAAGGGAAAUCCAAUGGUUGCAGCACUAAACAAGCAGAACCUUACAAAUACAUUUCAGGCUCUGAAAGGAAAGUUUAUGCCCAUGAAGGUCAAAAACGAUAAAGCCCCGAUAAAUGAUGCACCACAAGAUGACAAGGCAGAUACUGUUGGUCAAAUUAAGAAAAGAUAUGGGUAUACUGCUUCAGCUGAACCCAGUGCUACAGAGGCAGCAAAGUCAAAGCUCAGUGAAAAUCUGAAGAAGUUGCAGGGCAUCAACAUUAGAAGUGCUGAGAUGCAGGACCAAGCCAAGUCAUUUUCUUCCAUGGCUAAAGAGGUGUUGCGAUUUUCUGGAAAUGACAAAGCAAAUUCGUGAUUGCUUCACUCCACACAAAGAUGUUUUGCUGGAAAUGUAUAGUAAAUUACAAUUCUGAGUAUUUUUC